RNAcentral lists this non-coding RNA (30 nucleotides) under Mus musculus (house mouse). The record is from RNAcentral. Lineage: Eukaryota; Metazoa; Chordata; Mammalia; Rodentia; Muridae.
UAACGAAAGGUUCCCGGCUUUGGGACAAGU